Molecule: ribosomal RNA, 965 nt
Filed under: uncultured Methanosarcinaceae archaeon
Lineage: Archaea; Methanobacteriati; Methanobacteriota; Methanomicrobia; Methanosarcinales; Methanosarcinaceae
Description: bacterial SSU rRNA
Rfam family: Archaeal small subunit ribosomal RNA
Source: RNAcentral
AAACCUUCACACUGCGGGUAACCGCGAUAAGGGGACACCGAGUGCCAGCAUACAAUGCUGGCSUGUCCACAUGUGUAAAUAGCAUGUGAUAGCAAGGGCCGGGCAAGACCGGUGCCAGCCGCCGCGGUAACACCGGCGGCCCGAGUGGUAAUCACUAUUAUUGGGUCUAAAGGGUCCGUAGCCGGUUUAAUCAGUCUUCCGGGAAAUCUGACAGCUCAACUGUUAGGCUUCCGGGGGAUACUGUUAGACUUGGGACCGGGAGAGGUAAGAGGUACUACAGGGGUAGGAGUGAAAUCUUGUAAUCCCUGUGGGACCACCAGUGGCGAAGGCGUCUUACCAGAACGGGUCCGACGGUGAGGGACGAAAGCUGGGGGCACGAACCGGAUUAGAUACCCGGUAGUCCCAGCCGUAAACGAUGCUCGCUAGGUGUCUGGAAUGGUGCGACCGUUUCAGGUGCCGCAGGGAAGCCGUGAAGCGAGCCACCUGGGAAGUACGGCCGCAAGCUGAAACUUAAAGGAAUUGGCGGGGGAGCACUACAACGGGUGGAGCUGCGGUUUAAUUGGACUCAACGCCGGACAACUCACCGGGGGCGACAGCAAUAUGUAGGUCAAGCUAAAGACUUUACCUGAAUCGCUGAGAGGAGGUGCAUGGCCGUCGUCAGUUCGUACUGUGAAGCAUCCUGUUAAGUCAGGCAACGAGCGAGACCCGUGCCCACUGUUGCCAGCAUAUCUUCGGGAUGAUGGGUACUCUGUGGGGACCGCCGAUGCUAAAUCGGAGGAAGGUGCGGGCUACGGUAGGUCAGUAUGCCCCGAAUCUCCCGGGCGACACGCGGGCUACAAUGGUUGGGACAAUGGGCUCCUACACUGAAAAGUGACGGUAAUCUCAUAAACCCAGCCGUAGUUCGAAUUGAGGGCUGAAACCCGCCCUCAUGAAGCUGGAAUCCGUAGUAAUCGCGUUUCAAUAUA